CCUACGGGAGGCAGCAGUGGGGAAUAUUGCACAAUGGGGGAAACCCUGAUGCAGCGACGCCGCGUGAGUGCAGAAGUAUUUCGGUAUGUAAAGCUCUAUCAGCAGGGAAGAAAUAGCGACCUUUGGGUCGCCAGACGGUACCUGAUUAAGAAGCCCCGUCUAACUACGUGCCAGCAGACGCGGUGAUACGUAGGGGGCAAGCGUUAUCCGGAUUUACUGGGUGGAAAGGGAGCGUAGACGGCAGCGCAAGUCUGAAGUGAAAUGCCGGGGCUUAACCCCGGAACUGCUUUGGAGACUGGGCAGCUAGAGUGCAGGAGAGGUAAGUGGAAUUCCUAGUGUAGCGGUGAAAUGCGUAGAUAUUAGGAGGAACACCAGUGGCGAAGGCGGCUUACUGGACUGUAACUGACGUUGAGGCUCGAAAGCGUGGGGAGCAAACAGGAUUAGAUACCCCUGUAGUC
Molecule: ribosomal RNA, 458 nt
Filed under: uncultured bacterium
Lineage: Bacteria
Description: partial 16S ribosomal RNA
Rfam family: Bacterial small subunit ribosomal RNA
Source: RNAcentral